CUUUUGGUCCUGAAGUGGAGAUUAAUUACAAGGGGCGUGUGCUCACCCGCAACCAGCUCCUCUCUCUUCACUGCUUGCUCGCUUUCCUUAUUCAGAGUCACCAAAGGUACGGGGAAUACUGAGAAGGUUCUUAGAACAAAUAUCUCCAGAAAGCUCAUAAAAGGAGUCAUUCCUCCUUUGCUUCCUUUUUCCCAAGGUCACGAUCAAGCAAAAACUUCCUAUUUGCAAGGAGAGGCUGCCUUAGCCUCGAGAGGAGGACAUGUAAAUUACUGACCUUGAAGACACUGCACUACCCUGCGGCACUGCAGACCUUUAAAAAAAAAAAACAACCCAAAAGACCAAUGACGCUAAUAUCAAGUUAAAUCAGCAGGGGGCACAAUUUCUCCACAAUGUGAUUGGAUUUACAGUUUCUGAAGAACUGGAAAUUGUGUUUGCAAUGCCCCAGUUAUUCACUGGUCAGUUCAAAUAUGAGAUAUAAUUGAUGUGCAAGCAAGAAGAGAUAGUAGAGUCAGCGACU
Molecule: long non-coding RNA, 517 nt
Filed under: Homo sapiens (human)
Lineage: Eukaryota; Metazoa; Chordata; Mammalia; Primates; Hominidae
Description: HSALNT0108963
Source: RNAcentral